CCCCCGAUAGCUCAAUGGUAGAGCACCCGUGCACUUUACGGGAGACGUUGGUUCGAGUCCAACUCGGAGGA
RNAcentral lists this transfer RNA (71 nucleotides) under Stereum hirsutum FP-91666 SS1. RNAcentral describes it as "tRNA-Ser (ACT) (tRNA-Ser-ACT-6-1)". It matches the Rfam family "tRNA". Rfam says of the family: Transfer RNA (tRNA) molecules are approximately 80 nucleotides in length. The record is from RNAcentral. Lineage: Eukaryota; Fungi; Basidiomycota; Agaricomycetes; Russulales; Stereaceae.